Clostridium sp. CAG:413 is the source of this 100-nucleotide non-coding RNA. It matches the Rfam family "Bacterial small signal recognition particle RNA". From Rfam's summary of the family: The signal recognition particle (SRP) is a universally conserved ribonucleoprotein involved in the co-translational targeting of proteins to membranes. Lineage: Bacteria; Bacillati; Bacillota; Clostridia; Eubacteriales; Clostridiaceae. The record is from Rfam.
GUGUGGGUCCUGUGCGACAAGGCACUGCGAACCAUGUCAGGCGGGUGAACCGAGCAGCAUUAAGCGGACAGUUUUGUGCGCCACAGUCUGCCUACCGCCA